UUUUUUUUUUUUUUUUUUUUUUGUUCUCUUUGCCAUUUCUUGGGCCGCUCCCGUGGCAUAUGGAGUUUCCCAGGCUAGGGGUCUAAUCGGAGCUGUAGCCGCCAGCCUAUGCCAGAGCCACAGCAACAUGGGAUCCGAGCCGCGUCUGCAAUCUACACCACAGCUCACCACAAUGCCGGAUCCUUAACCCACUGAGCAAGGCCAGGGAUCGAACCUGCAACCUCAUGGUUCCCAGUCGGAUUCGUUAACCACUGCACCACUACGGGAACUCCUAAUUUCUCAAAAAUAUUUAUUAUUCCUUAAUAAGUAGCUUCGAUUAUUAACUUAAUAAAUAUUCAAUAAGAAUUUAACAAGAGACCUUCACCAGCACUGGACUGACAUUAUAUAUCUUAUGUAAACUAUUUUGAGAUAUUUAUAAAUCUUAAAGAUUAUAAGAUUAUAAAUCUUACACUACUCUAAUAACAUACUAUUUUUCUAAUAAUAUGCUAUUAUUCCAAUAACAUACUAGAUUUUUUUAUGAGACUAGCAUUUUUAUUAAAUAUUAACAGAAUUAAUAUCUGUUAAAAAUAUAAUCAGGACAUAAAUGUUACAUAUUUAUGAAUGUGAGUGGACUUCAACUUGAAAUACAAUACAUACAAUGUAUUAGAGUUAUAAUCUAUGGAUUAAAGGCAAGAAAAAGGAAAUUUUGAUAUGAUAUAUGGGUAACAAGUGACAUAAAACAAGAUACAAAUCUUUAAUAUGAUUUUCCUGCAAAACAGCCCAGUGUCCUUUUGAAUACAGCCAUCAUCUACACUGUUGCUUCUUAUCUUGGCAUCUGAAAAUCCUUCCACAAUGAAAUUCAAGGAUGAGCCUCAACUGCAUAGAUCCCAAAUAGCAGGAGCUAUUUAUUCUUAGGAACAGCUCAGUACUGCUAUAAUAAAUUAAAUUUCCAUCAUAUGGCAUUUGACGUCUACUUUUCUCUUUGGUAAAAUGAGAAAUCUUAACUAUUUCUUUUCUGGAUAAUAAAUAUAAUAGAUAUGUGGCUUAAAAUUGAGAAAUAUAUAUAUAUAUUUUUCUCUAAUAGGAAAUCACAACAGGCCAGGAGUAUUUAUAGGUUUUAUAAAUGAUCAUGACACUGAAAUUUAAAGAUGGAGCAACAGUAGUUGUUCCUUUGGUCAAAGACUGGUUGAAGGGAAUUUUCUUUCUGCGUGGGGAUGUUUCCUACUGCGAAUUAGAUUUUACCCUACCCUAAAUUACAUAUAUAAAUAAUUAUGUUAUUUUUUCAGUUUUUAAGAAAAUCGUAUGUUCAAGAAAAGGACUACACAAAAAAAUCUUAAUACUGAAGUAGAAAUGGACAGCUCUAGAAAUAUAUUUAUUCCACUUGUGCAGCGGUUUUCAACUCUGGCUUCACAUUAGAAUCAUUUUGGAGAAUGUUAAAAAUCCUCAUGCCUCGGUCAAUCCAGACAGCUCAGCUACUCUGGGAUCAGCUUGAAACUUCAGUGUUUUAAAAAGCUUCUUAAAUUACUCUAAUGUGCAGCCAGAGUUGACUGAUUUAACAAUGUGCUUAGAAGAAAUUAAUAUAGUAUUAAGAACAAUAUAUUAAAUAUAUAAGUAUAUAUUCAUGCAUCAUAGGUCCUACGGUCCAGUCAGGAUAUUCUUUGGACCUAUGAGAUCAACAUUACACUACAGAAAUUAUCAGACAAAGAUCCCCUUAGCCUAUGAUUCACUCUCAGAAUACAAUAUGGACUCUUGCUAUUUUGUUAACGUUUGGUGGCAUUUGACAAAACUGUACGUAUAGGACAGAAAAUAAACUGGAAAUGUCUCAUCAGUUCAAAAGAUAUUUUCAAUUGUUUUAUUAUAUAUCAAGUCUAUUGGGUUCUUUCCAAACUAUCAGUCUGUUGCUCACUCCCACAAGUAACAUUGUUUGUUCUGACAGUAAAAGAAUGAAUAAACAGCAGAAUACUUGCAUUUAAACAUACCCAUUGUAAAAUCAUCAAUAUGAAACAAUGGUAUGCUUCCAGUUCCUUUUUAAUGAAAUUCAGACAUGAAGACUAUUCAUUAUUCAUUUUAUUUCUAGAAUAAGUGUUUACAUACCAUCAAAGUGAAGUGUAUAAUAUAUUUGCAUGGUGUAGUGUUUUUAAAAUAAGGAAAGCCAUACAUACACAUAUGUCCUCUAAAUAGGCAAUAUUGAAAAUUUAACAUUUACAGACCUAAUCCGUCAUCUGGAUACUUCUUUCAAAUAAAAGACUUUUCAGAGCAACGUCUUUUCCAGUGACUUUCUGAGCCUGAGUGGCUGAUAAAUAAUGGGAACAUAGUGGAAGAUGUCUCUGGAGGACAGAAACGUCCAAGGUGGAUGCCAUCAGACAAACAGUUGUGAGAAUAUGAAAAGGUCACAGAUAUGGUAAACACGAGAGGGAAUACAAUGUAACAAGGACCUGGAGCCAGUCAAUAAAGAGAAAAGAAAAAGAGGUCACAUUCACCUAGAGCUCAACUUAAAGAAGCAGCAAGUUAAAAUUCUGAAAAAAGUACAUAAAUGAUUUUAAUGUACCUCUUCUCUUUCUGAACAGUGGUACAAAUGACUAGACACUUAAAACAUCUUAAUUUGAGGAAGGAUGGAUUUGAAUGGGAGAGAUGAGAAUAGCAGUGAUGUUUAUUUUCGAUUGGUAGUUUUGGAAAAGGACUUUCAAUCUUCUAACAGUGUUUUACACAAUGUCUCCCUCCACAUACUUUAAAAAUGUCUUAUUAAAAGAACGCAAAUAAAAUUAGUCAGCAAAUGCCUAUAUAUACAUAAGUGUUUCUACCCAGCUAUGGAGACCACCUACAUAGUUGAGAUGUUGGAAGCACAAACAUUCAUUCAUUUACUCAUCAAGUACUUAUUUGUGGAGCUUUUACUAAUAGAAAUAUAGUAAGACACUGACAAUCCAGUAAUUAAAAGAAAAUGUCAUAGUUUCUACCCUAAUGUAGGAAUAUAUGUCAUCAAUGAGGAUUUAAGACACUUGGAGAAGGGGAUGGUAAACCUUUAUGAAAUCUACAAACCCU
RNAcentral lists this long non-coding RNA (3018 nucleotides) under Sus scrofa (pig). Its description in RNAcentral is "lncRNA (ENSSSCG00000058803.1)". Lineage: Eukaryota; Metazoa; Chordata; Mammalia; Artiodactyla; Suidae. The record is from RNAcentral.